This 253-nucleotide ribosomal RNA is filed under the name uncultured bacterium. Its description in RNAcentral is "partial 16S ribosomal RNA". It matches the Rfam family "Bacterial small subunit ribosomal RNA", at positions 524 to 776 of the family's 1533-position model. The record is from RNAcentral.
UACGAAGGGGGCUAGCGUUGUUCGGAUUUACUGGGCGUAAAGCGCACGUAGGCGGAUCUUUAAGUCAGAGGUGAAAUCCCAAGGCUCAACCUUGGAACUGCCUUUGAUACUGGGGAUCUUGAGUCCGGGGGAGGUGAGUGGAACUGCGAGUGUAGAGGUGAAAUUCGUAGAUAUUCGCAAGAACACCAGUGGCGAAGGCGGCUCACUGGCCCGGUACUGACGCUUAGGUGCGAAAGCGUGGGGAGCAAACAGG